RNAcentral lists this ribosomal RNA (497 nucleotides) under uncultured bacterium. Its description in RNAcentral is "partial 16S ribosomal RNA". It matches the Rfam family "Bacterial small subunit ribosomal RNA", at positions 28 to 507 of the family's 1533-position model. The record is from RNAcentral.
GAUGAACGCUGGCGGCGUGCCUAAUACAUGCAAGUCGAGCGAACGGACGAGAAGCUUGCUUCUCUGAUGUUAGCGGCGGACGGGUGAGUAACACGUGGAUAACCUACCUAUAAGACUGGGAUAACUUCGGGAAACCGGAGCUAAUACCGGAUAAUAUUUUGAACCGCAUGGUUCAAAAGUGAAAGACGGUCUUGCUGUCACUUAUAGAUGGAUCCGCGCUGCAUUAGCUAGUUGGUAAGGUAACGGCUUACCAAGGCAACGAUGCAUAGCCGACCUGAGAGGGUGAUCGGCCACACUGGAACUGAGACACGGUCCAGACUCCUACGGGAGGCAGCAGUAGGGAAUCUUCCGCAAUGUGCGAAAGCCUGACGGAGCAACGCCGCGUGAGUGAUGAAGGUCUUCGGAUCGUAAAACUCUGUUAUUAGGGAAGAACAUAUGUGUAAGUAACUGUGCACAUCUUGACGGUACCUAAUCAAAAAGCCACGGCUAACUACGUG